AUUUCCAAACUUGUACCUAAACCAUCUUAUUAGACAGUACGAUGAAAGCUUAGCACCAUGUUUUUAUGGUUUACCCUAUAGUUUCAUUUCGUGAUACAAGAUGGUGAGAGUGACCUGUGCUAAUAAGAACUCGUCUGGAUACACUCAGUGUAGCGGAAAGAGGGGUGUCAGAUAGCACAGACAUAU
Molecule: small nucleolar RNA, 186 nt
Filed under: Ogataea parapolymorpha DL-1
Lineage: Eukaryota; Fungi; Ascomycota; Pichiomycetes; Pichiales; Pichiaceae
Source: RNAcentral